GAUGAACGCUGGCGGCGUGCCUAAUACAUGCAAGUCGAGCGAACAGACGAGGAGCUUGCUCCUCUGACAUUAGCGGCGGACGGGUGAGUAACACGUGGAUAACCUACCUAUAAGACUGGGAUAACUUCGGGAAACCGGAGCUAAUACCGGAUAAUAUAUUGAACCGCAUGGUUCAAUAGUGAAAGACGGUUUUGCUGUCACUUAUAGAUGGAUCCGCGCCGCAUUAGCUAGUUGGUAAGGUAACGGCUUACCAAGGCAACGAUGCGUAGCCGACCUGAGAGGGUGAUCGGCCACACUGGAACUGAGACACGGUCCAGACUCCUACGGGAGGCAGCAGUAGGGAAUCUUCCGCAAUGGGCGAAAGCCUGACGGAGCAACGCCGCGUGAGUGAUGAAGGUCUUCGGAUCGUAAAACUCUGUUACUAGGGAAGAACAAAUGUGUAAGUAACUAUGCACGUCUUGACGGUACAUAAUCAGAAAGCCACGGCUAACUACGUG
RNAcentral lists this ribosomal RNA (497 nucleotides) under uncultured bacterium. Its description in RNAcentral is "partial 16S ribosomal RNA". It matches the Rfam family "Bacterial small subunit ribosomal RNA", at positions 28 to 507 of the family's 1533-position model. The record is from RNAcentral.